CCCUUAGAUGUUCUGGGCCGCACGCGCGCUACACUGAUGAAUUCAACGAGCACUAACCUGUGCCGAAAGGUUCGGGUAAUCUUGUGAAAUUUCAUCGUGAUGGGGAUUGAUUAUUGCAAUUUUUAAUCAUAAACGAGGAAUGCCUAGUAAGCGUGAGUCAUCAGCUCACGUUGAUUACGUCCCUGCCCUUUGUACACACCGCCCGUCGCUCCUACCGAUGGAUCGUCCGGUGAAGCUCAUGGAGGGGCGGUUGUCUCAGCUGCCGUCGAAGUGAAAUGGACCUCACGAUCUAGAGGAAGGAGAAGUCGUAACA
This 313-nucleotide ribosomal RNA is filed under the name uncultured eukaryote. RNAcentral describes it as "partial 18S ribosomal RNA". It matches the Rfam family "Eukaryotic small subunit ribosomal RNA", at positions 1470 to 1796 of the family's 1831-position model. The record is from RNAcentral.